This 497-nucleotide ribosomal RNA is filed under the name uncultured bacterium. RNAcentral describes it as "partial 16S ribosomal RNA". It matches the Rfam family "Bacterial small subunit ribosomal RNA", at positions 28 to 507 of the family's 1533-position model. The record is from RNAcentral.
GAUGAACGCUGGCGGCGUGCCUAAUACAUGCAAGUCGAGCGAACAGACGAGGAGCUUGCUCCUCUAACGUUAGCGGCGGACGGGUGAGUAACACGUGGAUAACCUACCUAUAAGACUGGGAUAACUUCGGGAAACCGGAGCUAAUACCGGAUAAUAUAUUGAACCGCAUGGUUCAAUAGUGAAAGACGGUUUUGCUGUCACUUAUAGAUGGAUCCGCGCCGCAUUAGCUAGUUGGUAAGGUAACGGCUUACCAAGGCAACGAUGCGUAGCCGACCUGAGAGGGUGAUCGGCCACACUGGAGCUGAGACACGGUCCAGACUCCUACGGGAGGCAGCAGUAGGGAAUCUUCCGCAAUGGGCGAAAGCCUGACGGAGCAACGCCGCGUGAGUGAUGAAGGUCUUCGGAUCGUAAAACUCUGUUAUUAGGGAAGAACAAAUGUGUAAGUAACUAUGCACGUCUUGACGGUACCUAAUCAGAAAGCCACGGCUAACUACGUG